Molecule: long non-coding RNA, 4817 nt
Filed under: Brassica napus (rape)
Lineage: Eukaryota; Viridiplantae; Streptophyta; Magnoliopsida; Brassicales; Brassicaceae
Description: long non-coding RNA (BNAP_LNC002281)
Source: RNAcentral
UUAAUGUUCGAGUAGAAGAUCAUGUUUUUGUUCCGGACAUUGAUCAUUCUGACAUUACAAACCCUGAUCAAUUUAUAGAAGACUAUACGUCAAACAUAGCUAACACUCUAAUGGACAUGUCCAGACCUUUAUGGGAAUUUCAUGUACUGAAUAUAAAGACAUCAAACGCAGAAUCUUUAGGUAUAGGGAAGUUCCAUCAUUCACUCGGCGAUGGGAUGUCUCUUAUGUCUCUUCUAUAUGCUAGUUCAAGAAAAAUAUCAGACCCCAACGCUCUACCUACUACUGCGACUACAAGAAAACAAGUUGGUUCCAAUGAUAAUUGGUGGCUGGUUGCCAGAUUUUUGCUUAUGAUUAGAGUCAUUUUUACAACUUUUAUUGAACUGUUCAAGUCCCUCCUUACACUAUGUUUUAUGCGGGAUACUAAAACUCCUCUCAUGGGUAAACCUGGAGAUCGAAAUGGACCUAGAAAGAUUAUCCAUCGGAUAGUAAGCUUUGAUGAUGUCAAGUUCGUGAAGAACACAAUGAAAAUGGUAGAUAUAUUAGUACUUUUUAUCAGUUCUACUUGUCUUGAUCAUUAGUCGUUUUCUAAACAAAUUAUGCCUCAUUGUAGAAAGUCAAUGAUGUUCUUCUUGGAAUAACACAGGCAGGUCUCUCAAGAUAUUUAAGAAAAAAAUAUGGUAAUUUCAGACUCAUUCUUUCAUUAUAGUGCUAUUGGCCUUAUAUAAUCAACAUGUUACAAUGUUACCCAAGUAUCUGUAUGUUAAACAGAUGUAAAGCCUGAGAAAUAAAAGAGUGAAUAUAUGAUCCAAUGUAUAUUGAUACUACACUAUUAGUUUUUUUUGUAAUAUAUCAUUAACAAUAAUCUUUAAUAUUUUAAAAACAAGGUGACGAUCCAGUGACUGAGAAGAAAAAAUCCUUAGAGGAAACACGUCUCCGGGGUACAAUAGCUGUAAAUCUAAGACCAGAAACAAAGAUCAAGGUAAAAUAAGUAUUACAACGAUCUUAUAGUUGCAUCUUACAAAACGAUAUGUUUUACGAUAAUUAGAGUGCAAUAACUUGAUAAAAUUAAAUAUGAAACUGUAGGAUCUUGCUGAUAUGAUGACAAAAGGUUCAAAAUGUAGAUGGGGUAAUUUCAUAGGUGUUGUUAUAUUUCCUUUAUGGAUAAGAUCUGAGGAUGAUCCAUUGGAAUACGUCCGGAGAGCCAAAGCUACUAUGGAUAAGAAAAAAAUCUCCAUGGAAGCACUUGUGUUAUAUGGAUUCAUCAAAUUUACAAUGAAAAUAUUUGGCGUAAAGGUAAAAUAUCAAGCUAUUUCAUCCAUAUAUGUAUACUUUAUGUAAGUAAAAAGAAUGUACAACUUUUAAUGACAGGCCGUAGAAGCUAUCACUAAGAGGGUAUUUAGCCAUACAACGCUGACAUUUUCUAAUGUGUUGGGUCCAAACGAAGAUAUAAGUUUCUUUGAACAUCCCAUGUGUUACGUCGGAGCAAGCGCAUUGAUUGGACCACAAGUAAGUAUAAGUCUAUAAUCAUGUCAUUCUAGUACUUGCAUAUUAAAUCUGUUUUUUUUCCUUUCUGAAAUCAUAUACAAGUACUUGCUGACAUUUAAUAAAUGUGUUUACGUUUGUGGUUGGACUAGGCUCUUAUCAUCCAUUAUGUAAGCUACGCAGACAAGAUUAUCAUCAAUCUAGCUGUCGAUACAACAGUGAUUCCAGACCCUCAUGUACUAUGUGAUAAUUUGGUAGAGUCGCUUGAAAUCAUCAAACUUUCUCUCUUGGAGAAAGGACUUCAUAAAAUGGAGGUUUGAGACGUUCACGCGAUAUAAAAAUGGAAGUCUACGUUAAAAAGAUAACAUGUGGUGAAAUGUACUAUGUUAGCUUUUGUAUUUGUUAUGAUGUUGUGUUUAUUAUAUUAUAUAUAUACAUAUUCUACUUUGGUAGUAUAAACUUUUUAUUUGUAUACGAAAAAAGCAGACAUGUAGCAUUUACACAAGACGACCAAACGUAGACCACAAGCACCACUAACAUAUAUAUUUACAUAAUCAAUACCUAUUUUCAUCAGCAAACAGAAUUCGAUUCCCUUUUGCCUUGGAAUUAAAGGAACUGUUCAAGGGCUUGUGUACCAUUGCUGUUCAAGAGCUUCAUCAUGAAGUUAAACCUGGUGUCUGGAGAUGUCUUUGGUUGUGGCCAAUUUGCUCCUUCAGGGAUCUUGAUGCAUCUGUAACUUUGAUCUUUAUAAAGUUUCGUGGCCUCCGUAUAGCUCGACAUCCCCAGUUCGUGGCUUAACCCUCUGCUUUCCAGAUCAGUACUCUCGUAUCUGGAGAUGCCUUUGGUUGUGGCCAAUUUACUAACUGUCACAGCGACUAAACAUAUCCCUCUGGUAGGCACCCUGGUGGAACGGAGAAACCCAUUAUCAUCGCCAUCAACCUAUCAACUCUGAGGACAAGAUCAAGAGGGAACGAAUGUCCAGGGAAGAAGGAGGUGCAAUGUGUUUCUGCCACUUCCCACCAGUCCUCCACUCUAUCUUCCCGGACAACAAUUUCAGGUGAAACCACUGGGAAAAGAUCAAGUACAAACCUAAAAGAAAAGAACAACUUUAUCGUCUACUGACGAAUCAAAUCAUGUCGUAUGUUAAAGGAUGGGAGCUUUCAUGGAUCAUCAAUUACGACUAGAAGCGAUCUCUUCGAAUGAGACUCCCCCUUCCAUCUAUCAGUCAAAUUCUGUCUGUCCUCAGAACUUACAUGACUCUACUCUCCAGACAUAAAAAACAGUUUUGUUUGCUAUCCUGAUGUAUCUUGGGUAGAUAAUUAGCACUCUGCAGGCAUAGUCUGGGGCUUUAAAAGACUCCUGUAAUAAAAUCCUGCUUCAGGGAUCAGCUUCAACUGAUGCUACAGAUACAGUUUCAAUUUUGUUGGUGUAAGGUAAUGUUUUGUGGAAACUGCUCAGCUCUUUUUGUGGAGACUGUUCAGAAGCUGAUAGACUUGCAACUCAAGCUAGAACAGGAAAAUAACCAUAUGUUGUAAAGUGGAUCACAUAAAUAUUUGUCUGAGUCUGUUUGUACAACACUUAUAUAAGUUUCUCUAUAAAUAAUAAUAAUAUUUAAGGUUUAACUAUAAUUAGAAUUGUAACUCGAUCAAAAUCAAAGCCCGUGAAAUCUAACUCGUUGUUCUCUAGAACUCAGUCUAGUAGCAGCUAACGGAGAGUCAUAGAUCAUAAUGCCUUAGGUCAAACCUGAUUUGCUAGACGGAGUUUGAGAAACAGAAACCGUCGGCGAGAGAAGCCAUGACGGUUUUGCUUGAUCAAAGCUGAUGGGGAUAGCUCCGUCGUCCCCAUUCCCCAACGGCGUGCUCUGCAUUUCUCACCGCACUAUUACGGAGAUGGCAACAACAAAACCGGACGGUUCAACCGGUUCAAUUCGUUAGUAAGAAUCUUGAAAAAAUUACAAUAUGACAUACUUUUUCGUUCUCUACUAGGUGAUUUUCCAGUGAUUAUGCAUGGAUAUAAAUAUUUUUAAAGUAAAUAUAUUAUAAUAAUUGAUUGUUAAUUACUUUUAAUUUUAAAUUAAUUUAUAAUUGAGUAUUUGCAUGCUAUAUACAAGAAAAACUAUUUAAUUAGCUAACCGGUAUAUGCGACUGUUUAGUACUGUUAUUUUUUCGUUAUUUCCAAUUGUAUCCCUCUAUUAUAGCCACUGCACAAUAUUAUUUCUCGCAUUUAGGACAACACACAAUCAUCUCUUUCCUCUUUGAUUCAUCACCGUAAAUAAACAAAGACAACACACAGAAAAAAUAAAUCAUUGAUAACUUAAGACACGAGUUGGUGUACAUUUUCUAAUCGUGAGAUGAUCAAUGGCAGAGAGAUGCUUAUUAAUUCCAGUAAAGUUGCAGCACACCAAGAAUCAUUUGACAGAGAAGCCAUGUCUUGUGAUCCUAGCUUGAGUGGCUUAGGUUCAGAUAGCUUACAAGUUAAGUAAAUAAAUCGCCUAAAAUAGAAAUAAGAAUCCUCACUUCUUUUUUUUAACGCUGAUAAGAAUCUUCACGUUAUCUUCUAAUCCUGUAUAUUAAAAGAUAAACAUUAUAACAUUUAAGGUAGUCAUGUGUCAUCACCACAAUGAGUCUUAAAAUCUUUAGAAAAAUAUAUUGGUUCAUCUAAAUAUAUAAUAAGUUUUUUAUUAAACUAACCAUAAAUUCAUUAUUAAUGUCUUUCACUUUUUCUUUAAAUAAAAACUACGGAAUUACCAAAUGUAGCUAAAGUAUAUAUAUGAAAAUUAAUGAUUUUGAAUAAUAAAUAUUUGAUAAAAGUUAGUGUAUUCUCUAUCAUAUUUGUUUAAUUUUAAAUUAAUAAAAUAAAUUAAACAACUACAUUAACCAUAUAAUAAAAUUUAUAUUUUUCUUUAUAUGUUAUAUUUGAUUUUUUAAACGAUUAUAAAUUACUACUCUCUUUUAUCUAUUUAUUUAUUUAAUAAACUAUGCGUAAUCAUCUAUUUGAUCAUAAAUAAAUGUUUCAGGUGAUGGACGAUAAGAAAAAUGGAGAAGCGGUUUGGGUUCCUGUUAAUGUUCGAGUAGAAGAUCAUGUUUUUGUUCCGGACAUUGAUCAUUCUGACAUUACAAACCCUGAUCAAUUUAUAGAAGACUAUACGUCAAACAUAGCUAACACUCUAAUGGACAUGUCCAGACCUUUAUGGGAAUUUCAUGUACUGAAUAUAAAGACAUCAAACGCAGAAUCUUUAGGUAUAGGGAAGUUCCAUCAUUCACUUGGCGAUGGGAUGUCUCUUAUGUCUCUUCUAUAUGCUAGUUCAAGAAAAAUAUCAGACCCCAACGCUCUAC